RNAcentral lists this long non-coding RNA (2152 nucleotides) under Carassius auratus (goldfish). RNAcentral's name for it is "lncRNA (ENSCARG00000060255.1)". The record is from RNAcentral. Lineage: Eukaryota; Metazoa; Chordata; Actinopteri; Cypriniformes; Cyprinidae.
GACGCGGGAUUUAGUUGAAUCAGUCAUCAUAAAGUCGCAGCGUUUACCUCAGAAGAACAUUAAAGUAAGUUCAUUUAUUCAUUUAAACGUUGGUUUCAAUGUUGAUAUCAGUUAUAUAAGUUCUACACAGAUUAAUAAAUCCAUAUAAUAAAUAAAAUGCAUAUUUAUAACUUUAGAUAUUUUUUUAAAAUCUUGAUGAUUUGAUUUGAGUCGUCAAAUCGUGCUCUUGUCAUCUGAUUUACACUCAACAUAUCGUUAUGAAACUAUAUAAAGCAAUAUAAAGGUAAAUAAAUAACAUGGACAGCUGUUAGGACAAUCUGUCGGUUAGUGACAUUUUUUAAAUAGCGUAUGAUAUAAAUCUCCUACCGAGUGUAAUAAUGUAUGUUGUGAAAUUCAUUUCUGUUUAUUGUAAAUUAUAUUUUGUUGAAAUGUUAUAUAAUGUUAUAUAUUGGUUAGAUAAGUUUAAAAAUUAAGGAUUAUGACUGAACUGAUUGAUAAGAACCUUUGCAUUAUAUAAAAACAAUACUGGCAUGCAAAUGUUAUUAUCAAGGCUAAGUUUGUGUAUAUCAUGUAGAAUAUGAAGUUAUUUUUAUAUAUGUAUCUCUUCAUCUUUAUGUUUAUCUCUCUCUCUCUAUAUAUAUAUACAUUUCCUAGUAGAUUGAGGAAGAUGAUGAAGCAGAAAUAUGAGGAAGAGAUCCAGAUGCUCCAGCAGGAUAUUAAAAUGCUGGAGUCUGAACAGGAGGAGACUUUAAGAAAGUCAGUCUGUAAGGAAAGAGGAGGAGCACAAAAACACUCUUGCAAAGCUGGGGCAAGUUCAAGUUCAAAACGGUGCGCAACGUUUUGCUACGGUUUCCGGAUUGAACGUCAUGUUUCCUGGAAACGGCAUGCACCGGUGUGCAACGGGGUUUGAGAUGCGUUUUCUCUUGUUUGGUGGGUGUGUCAGAACUGCAGUCCAAUCAGCAGCAACAUGUAUUUAAAGCACGCGGUAUUAAAGUGAACUCGCACAAUGGCUUCAAGGAAAAUAAUGUAUAAAUGUGUUCGUUGCAGCUCGGUAUACGCAACAACUGAGGAUAUUAGAAGACAUGUUUGUCGUAAGUUUUAUUGUAAAAAUAUAGGAUAUCAACAUAAUGAUGUAGUUGUUUAUAUUUUAGCUUCAUUGCAAGUGUAUGACAUUUGGUAUAGAAAAUAAACAAUGGUAAUUAAGUGCUUUUCCUAAAAAUGAGAAAGAAAUACAGGGUAUUAAAACCGUAUGAACUACAAAUAAAGUCAGUAUGUGAGGCUAAAUAGAUGGCUCCUAAAAUUCUUCACAAAGAAACCAAAGAAUGGCCUUUUUUUUUCAAAGAAUGGCCUUCUCAGCUGCCAUAGUUGCAACUCUUGCGUCAUCAGAACAGUGUGUUCAACGCAUCACCGUUUCUGUUUAAAAAACGUGCAAUGUUUUGUCGGGGCUGAACGCAGCCCAGCUCUCAAAAGUCAGAGAGCCGGAAAGAAAAACCUCAGACAACAGACAGAAAUGAAUGGGAUCGCAGCUGGUUGCAGCAAACCCGUUAAUUUAAAAAAACCAUUAGUAAUAAUCUAUUUUAUACGUUUUGGGUUUUUCUUAGAAAUAGUUCACCAAAAAUAAAAAAAGUUGCUUAAAAUGUACUCACCUUCAGGCCAUCAAAGAUGUAGAUGAGUUUGUUUCUGGAAGCAGAUUUGGAGAAAUGUAACACUUGCUCACCAAUGGAUCCAUUGCAGUGAAUGGGUGCCGUCAGAAGCAUCAGCUGAUAAAACAUCACAAUGAUCCACAAGUAAUCCACAAUACUGCACUUCCUUAAUUUUGAAGCAAAAAGCUGUUUGUAAUAAACAAAUCCAUCAUUAAGACCGCUAUUGCUAAACACUAGUUCUCUGUCCUUAAUAUUGCUUUCUCCAGUGAAAAAGUUCUCUGUUGAAUUGGGAGAGAAAUGCAUAUGGAGGAUUCACAGGAGGAAGUGUUAUGGAUUAUGGAGUUCUUGGCCAAAAGCAAUGGUUUGAAUUUAAAAUGCCUUAAUGAUGGAUUUGUUUUUUACAAACGUAGUCAGGGUUUGAUGCAAACAGGACAUGGCCUUAAAGCACCACUAUGUAAUUUUUUCUGUCUUCUAAAUUUGCUAAAUAUAAUGAGCGAGUGCAUCAUAAA